This is a long non-coding RNA of Physcomitrium patens, 1988 nucleotides long. RefSeq lists it as uncharacterized. NCBI's taxonomy places the organism in Eukaryota, Viridiplantae, Streptophyta, Bryopsida, Funariales, Funariaceae. The record is from RefSeq and is a predicted model, not a curated record.
GUCUGAAGAGGGAAUCACUUGUUGUCACUGCUGGAUAAUCAACAGAUUUAGCGGCAUUGGAUUCAGAAGACAAAGAGAGGGGAGACCUAAGUGCCGGUGGAUAAAAGCAGUUGAUCUAGUCCGUCAACUAUAAUUUACAUUCUCAAGGUAAAAUUGAGAAUUUAGGUCUGCAGAACCGGUAAUCGGACAAUCUUGAGAGCAGACUUUUCUCGUAAUGAAAACAGCAAAAGCUCUAUUCGUUUUUAAACUCUGGUCAUGGAAUACAAAUUCAGAAACAACUUGAAAUAACUCAUGCUGUCACUUGAUUUCUUAUAUGGUUAGAUCCCUAUUUCUUAAGACGACCCCUUAAUAAACCAAUCAAAGAAAGGCAUUGUCAAGGGUUUGUGCUUUCCUUCUACACGGUUUACUGUUCUGCGCAAUUUUAUCCGCAUUAUUAUCCACAUUUUCUCAAAUACAUAUCUCCUAAAUCACGCGCUGUUGUUUCUUUGACGAUCUCAAGUAAUCUGUUAAACAUCAUUGUUUCAAUCAACUUCCAACUGCUGUGUCUCAGCGCGGCCCAUGGAGCCUUCAUAAAACUUAGAAUUCAGGGUUCUGAAAAGAGGCUUAGUGGGAGGUAGAUCAUGAGUGUUCGGAAGCUAUCAUUGCUGUUAUUUUCUUGAUUGGGUAUUCUCGAAGCAACUACUUUCUAGCAUUGAUUGUAUUUAUUCAUGGCACUUUAGUUUUCCUUUUCAGUUUGAAGUUAGAGAUUGCCAACGCGUAACUGUCUUGAUCUUCAUCACUACCCUUCUUUGUUCACAUGCUGAGAACCCUGACAGUGGUGAAGCAUUUUCCACCUAGCUUCCAGACUGUUGGACACUCCAAGAGUCUCCCUGGGCACAAAGUGCUGAAUGUGGGGCCACGACAAGCCACGCCCCAACAUGAAAUCCUCCUGUGUGGGUUCCAGUCAAUCAUGUGAGAACAAAGAUAUCAACUGGGGCCGUCCAGGGUCUUUGCCAAGGACGGAGCAGAGAACAAUUCCUUCACGACCUUGAUUUCAAUUCCUUCUGUUGAACAUGUCAGAACCAGGAAGGACAACAAUUCCCUGGCCUUGUUUUUCCUGCAAGCUUUACGUCAGUUUUCACGUCUAUGAAUGAAGAGUUAUUGAUGGUUGCAUGGAUUCAAAGGACCCAGAGAGAUACAUAUAUCACGAUAAUCAAUUCUUUACCAAAAAUACAAAAGAAAAAAGGGAGAAUACUGUUUCCCGGGUUUUGUUCGACUGCUCCACCGCAUAUUCGGCAUUCAUUCCUCUUCAUCUCCUCCGACUUUGUGCGAUAAGCUAUGGCAAGAUCAACAACGACGACCAAGUGGCAGCAGCAGUGGUCCCUACUUGGUGAUUGACAACCAUGAAAGCGCCGCAUUGCGGAUGUUCAAUCAGUUUUCCAAGGUCUUAUCAGAAAUCAUAUGCUCAAUCAUCACUUUUCUCAUUCCUUUUCCAAUGGCACAUCAUAUCGAAGCAAUGAAGAUCUAAAGUGGAAAUUGAUUGUAACAAAACAUCAAUAUGAAAGAAAUCUCUACUGCUUUUACUUUUUUGCUGUCAUCCACUCCCAUCUUUAUGAAGCAAGGGAAGAGGAGCGUGGGAAGCCAUAGUGGAGUCUUUUUUCCAUCUUACAACAACUUUUGUGUGGAAUCUUCAAAAAGUGAAAGCAAUCAUGGAACAUUAACUCAUGUGUGGGACCUAAAUGCAUCUGGAUGCACGGAGAUGAAUAGUGGUGGAUGAAUGUGAAACCUUACACACCAUUUGAUAAAAUUGUGUUUCAUUUGCUUUUCCCUAAACAAAACUUGGUAUUAUUUUAAAUAUCCAUGGCAUAAUUAUAUUCAAUGGUUUUAUUAUAAAUGUAGGGAUCAACUAUGCAUAUACCCCCUUCCUUUUAAUCAAACAAGAUUUUUCAACUAUCAUUGAUUGCAAGAUCAAUUUAAUAAAAGGACCAAUGGCUCUCAUUGUGUGAUAU